Thrips palmi is the source of this 320-nucleotide long non-coding RNA. RefSeq lists it as uncharacterized. The transcript is spliced from 3 exons. NCBI's taxonomy places the organism in Eukaryota, Metazoa, Arthropoda, Insecta, Thysanoptera, Thripidae. The record is from RefSeq and is a predicted model, not a curated record.
GACAUGGUGGGGCCGCGGGCUGCUGCUGGGGCUCCUGGCGGCUCAGCACGCCCUCGGCCAGGCUCCGGACGGGGUCGCCGACGAGGAGGCGGUGACCAAGGGCAGGCCGAGCCUCAAGGCAGCCGCCAACGCUUCUGCGCCAGAGGGUCGCUGCUCCUCCGGUGACGACGGCAGGGACUGCCCCCUGGAAGGCCCCAGCACUCCGUUCUCCGACCUGGGGGAGCACGUCGGCCGCGGGCACGUCCACGACGACGGCAGCAGCGAGUCCGGCUUCCUGUACGCGCGGUCCCUGUCGCUGUCCGUGGACGCGGAGGACGCGG